UACGGAGGGGGCUAGCGUUGUUCGGAAUUACUGGGCGUAAAGCGCACGUAGGCGGCUUUGUAAGUUAGAGGUGAAAGCCCAGGGCUUAACCCUGGAAUUGCCUUUAAGACUGCAUCGCUAGAAUCGUGGAGAGGUGAGUGGAAUUCCGAGUGUAGAGGUGAAAUUCGUAGAUAUUCGGAAGAACACCAGUGGCGAAGGCGACUCACUGGACAUGUAUUGACGCUGAGGUGCGAAAGCGUGGGGAGCAAACAGG
RNAcentral lists this ribosomal RNA (253 nucleotides) under uncultured bacterium. RNAcentral's name for it is "partial 16S ribosomal RNA". It matches the Rfam family "Bacterial small subunit ribosomal RNA", at positions 524 to 776 of the family's 1533-position model. The record is from RNAcentral.